UCCAGACAUCAGUAUGGACUGGACUGUCCAGACUGAAUGUCCUAGUCAUCAAGACAGGAUCCACAUCUUCCUCUAGCUCCCAUGUGCUUUCUUCAUACGGCAGAGAGCACCAUUUUACCAGACACAUGACAGAACGAGACUUUCUGGGAAAAAGGACACGCAGAUGGGACACCUGAUGGGUCAGAUCUAUUCAUGCUCACAGCCAGGACAAGCCACUGUCCCCUCCCUCUGCUCUUACCAAUGAAGGCUAAUCAUCUGCACAGCCUUAAGGCCUUGAAAACCAUCACACAUCUGAUAAAUAAAAACUGAAAGAUGUC
RNAcentral lists this long non-coding RNA (317 nucleotides) under Rattus norvegicus (Norway rat). RNAcentral's name for it is "long non-coding RNA NONRATT018848". Lineage: Eukaryota; Metazoa; Chordata; Mammalia; Rodentia; Muridae. The record is from RNAcentral.